AGUAACACGUGGGUAACCUGCCUUAUAGUGGGGGAUAGCCUUUCGAAAGGAAGAUUAAUACCGCAUAAGAUUGUAGUAUCGCAUGAUAUAGCAAUUAAAGGAGCAAUUCGCUAUAAGAUGGACCCGCGUCGCAUUAGCUAGUUGGUGAGGUAAUGGCUCACCAAGGCGACGAUGCGUAGCCGACCUGAGAGGGUGAUCGGCCACAUUGGGACUGAGACACGGCCCAGACUCCUACGGGAGGCAGAUG
RNAcentral lists this ribosomal RNA (247 nucleotides) under uncultured bacterium. RNAcentral describes it as "partial 16S ribosomal RNA". It matches the Rfam family "Bacterial small subunit ribosomal RNA", at positions 109 to 351 of the family's 1533-position model. The record is from RNAcentral.